This 308-nucleotide small RNA is filed under the name Arabidopsis thaliana (thale cress). Its description in RNAcentral is "ATSL188360". Lineage: Eukaryota; Viridiplantae; Streptophyta; Magnoliopsida; Brassicales; Brassicaceae. The record is from RNAcentral.
AGUUGUGGCGAAUUACAAUUAACAAGUUCGCUCUAUUGAAAAAUUAAAUUAAGGUUCCGAAUGGUGAUUGCGUUUUGUGGUGUGGAAAAAGUGCGAUGCGAUUCAAAUAAUAACGAAAAUACAUAGAUACAUAUGUAUAUGUAGAGAUUUUGAUACUGUUACAACACUGUUGUAGUGCGGUUUUGGAUGCGGUUUUGGUUACCAUUCACAGCUUAAGUAUGGGCAAUCGAAAUAUUGGACCAAGAUACGUAAAGCGGUAUCAGUACUCAUAAUGUUCAAAGUCAAAGUCAAGUAAAACAAAAUGAAUU